RNAcentral lists this long non-coding RNA (610 nucleotides) under Gallus gallus (chicken). RNAcentral's name for it is "long non-coding RNA NONGGAT012110". The record is from RNAcentral. Lineage: Eukaryota; Metazoa; Chordata; Aves; Galliformes; Phasianidae.
UGCAAGGGCUGGGCAGAGCGGCACCUUGACUGCACUGUUCCACAAACAGGUCGAGGGGCUGGGCUCAGGCCUUGUUCCUGGCCCCAUCGCCCAGAGGAGCCUGCCUCUGGCACCGAGGAGCUCCAUGCCCUGGUGAGGGCUCGCUCCAUCACGGUGACUGGCAGGUGGCACUUGGGGGGACUGUACCUGGCUGCCGUGGUUGUGCGUAGGCAAGGCUCUUCUCAGCUAACUGAGAACAUCUCUGCAUUCUUCCCCCGGCCAGCACGCUGCAAAACACAGGACCACUCUGCUGUGCUGUGGUGUUUGAAGAAACAGUUCAGGUACAGAAACACAGUUCAGCCCUGAGAAGUUUGGAGCGCACCAGCAGCUCUUCUUUUUCCACCCUGGUGGCUGAAACCGUCCAGCUCCUGAGAACAUCCCCUGGAUUCAGCCUGCAAGCUCUUUGCUACCGGCUCAGCAGCGUGGGGGAGAAGAGGCUGCACUCCCUAAGAGCUGGCUGGCUGCGCUGCUGCAGCUGUGCUCAGGGCUGACCCCAGCUGGUGCAACUUGAGGCCCUUCACAAGCCUUGCUGCCCUUCUUUGGACCUGCAAUAGGGAAGCUUUUGUAUUUA